AUUGAACGCUGGCGGCAUGCUUUACACAUGCAAGUCGAACGGUAACAGGCCUUCGGGUGCUGACGAGUGGCGAACGGGUGAGUAAUGCAUCGGAACGUGCCCAGAGGUGGGGGAUAACGCAGCGAAAGCUGUGCUAAUACCGCAUGUGAUCUGAGGAUGAAAGCGGGGGACCAGGCAGCAAUGUUUGGCCUCGCGCCUUUGGAGCGGCCGAUGUCAGAUUAGGUAGUUGGUGGGGUAAAGGCCUACCAAGCCGACGAUCUGUAGCUGGUCUGAGAGGACGACCAGCCACACUGGGACUGAGACACGGCCCAGACUCCUACGGGAGGCAGCAGUGGGGAAUUUUGGACAAUGGGCGCAAGCCUGAUCCAGCAAUGCCGCGUGCGGGAAGAAGGCCUUGGGGUUGUAAACCGCUUUUGUACGGAACGAAAAGGCUCUGGCUAAUACCUGGGGCUGAUGACGGUACCGUAAGAAUAAGCACCGGCUAACUACGUG
This 492-nucleotide ribosomal RNA is filed under the name uncultured bacterium. Its description in RNAcentral is "partial 16S ribosomal RNA". It matches the Rfam family "Bacterial small subunit ribosomal RNA", at positions 30 to 507 of the family's 1533-position model. The record is from RNAcentral.